GAUGAACGCUGGCGGCGUGCUUAACACAUGCAAGUCGAGCGAAGCGCUUAAGUUUGAUUCUUCGGAUGAAGACUUUUGUGACUGAGCGGCGACGGGUGAGUAACGCGUGGGUAACCUGCCUCAAAGAGGGGGACAACAGUUGGAAACGACUGCUAAUACCGCAUAAGCCCACAGCUCGGCAUCGAGCAGAGGGAAAAGGAGUGAUCCGCUUUGAGAUGGCCUCGCGUCCGAUUAGCUGGUUGGUGAGGUAACGGCCCACCAAGGCGACGAUCGGUAGCCGGACUGAGAGGUUGAACGGCCACAUUGGGACUGAGACACGGCCCAG
RNAcentral lists this ribosomal RNA (325 nucleotides) under uncultured bacterium. Its description in RNAcentral is "bacterial SSU rRNA". It matches the Rfam family "Bacterial small subunit ribosomal RNA", at positions 28 to 334 of the family's 1533-position model. The record is from RNAcentral.